RNAcentral lists this ribosomal RNA (563 nucleotides) under Sphingomonas melonis. RNAcentral's name for it is "partial 16S ribosomal RNA". The record is from RNAcentral. Lineage: Bacteria; Pseudomonadati; Pseudomonadota; Alphaproteobacteria; Sphingomonadales; Sphingomonadaceae.
GGAUUCAAGCGAUGCAGUCUUAAAGGCAAUUCUGGAGUUGAGCUCCUUGGCUUUCACCUCUAACUUACAAAGCCGCCUACGUGCGCUUUACGCCCAGUAAUUCCCAAUAACGCUAGCUCCCUCCGUAUUACCGCGGCUGCUGGCACGGAGUUAGCCGGAGCUUAUUCUCCCGGUACUGUCAUUAUCAUCCCGGGUAAAAGAGCUUUACAACCCUAAGGCCUUCAUCACUCACGCGGCAUUGCUGGAUCAGGCUUUCGCCCAUUGUCCAAUAUUCCCCACUGCUGCCUCCCGUAGGAGUCUGGGCCGUGUCUCAGUCCCAGUGUGGCUGAUCAUCCUCUCAGACCAGCUAAGGAUCGUCGCCUUGGUGCGCCUUUACCACACCAACUAGCUAAUCCUACGCGGGCUCAUCCUCAGGCGAUAAAUCUUUGAUCUCGCGAUAUCAUCCGGUAUUAGCAGCAAUUUCUCGCUGUUAUUCCGAACCUGAGGGCAGAUUCCCACGCGUUACGCACCCGUGCGCCACUAAGGCCGAAGCCUUCGUUCGACUUGCAUGUGUUAGGCAUGCC